GGUAUAUAGCCAUGUCCAAUAAUGGUAAAUAUGUUCCUGUCUAUAUCACCAUUGGUGACGAAGAAAAUUGAAGCAUCAACACCACUGCAAAGGAAGUAGAUGCAGCAGAAGCCGAAGCAAAAGCAGCUAUAGCUUACACUGAUGAAGCUUCAAAGACACUGAGAGGACGAAACAUCUGCAAAAUGGUGACAGAGGAGGAAGAAGAAUGUGUUGCAGGAGAAGAGAGAGAGAGAAGCCUAGAAGUAGUAUAUGCUGAUGAUUUUCUACUUGGAAACUCUUUUUAGUUGUAACCAGUAAUCUCAGAUGCUAAAACUCUUCAUAUAUGUAACAAAUUAUCCUUUAGCUAGAGAACUUUUAGCAGAUUAAAAAUGUGUUAGAUAUUGUGAAAUUGGAAAGAUAUGUGGGCAAGUUAUACUGUUAUAGCAGGUAAAAAUAUUUGUUUUAUAGUCUGAGAAAGAAAUCGGUGGAGCCAUUAAUAAAUCGUGACCAUUUCUCUUCCUCAAAGUUUUCAAAUGUUCUAUUAUUUAUUUCUUGCGUGAAACAUUUUCACACCAAAAGCUAUUUUCACUAUAACGUAACCCAAGGGGGUGAAUCGUACCAAAGAAUAUUUUUUCAUAUCAAAUAAGUUUUUUCUAAAAAAUAUUCGAAAAAGAUAUUUUCUCUGUAUCUCAAAAAAAUCAAUAUUGAUGCAUUAAUUUGUAAUUUCGAAAAUGACAAUUUCUUUUUUUUUUAAUUUACAAUUUACCAAUAAACAAUGUAUUGAAAUUGUAAAAAUCUAUUUUUUUGAAAUAAAUAUAUUUUUUUUAAAAAAACGUUGAUCUUUUUGUAACUGAAAAAUCAAUAUCUAAACAGUAAAAAAUAAAAACAAAAUGUGUAAUUUUUUUUUAAAAAAUUAUAUCAUGAAUUCGAAAGUCCUCAAUAAAAAAUACUAAUAUGAAAAAUAUAUUACAUAAUAUGAAAAAACUAAUAUAAUGUAAUUUGACAAAAAAUAAUAAAAGUAAAAUAAAAUAAACAUAUAAAAAUACUUACACCGUUAAAAUGAAAAAUCUUAUAAAGCAUCUCAACUAUCCUAUUAUUAAAUUUAGUUUUUCCAAUCACAUUUGGAGCUCCAUAUGAUAAUAUCAAACAAUUUCAACCGUAAAGAUGUAAAAACAAAGAAAUGAUACAACGAUUUACACGUAAUUUAUAAUCAUAUUUUUAAAAGUAUAAAAAUAUUAAAUAAAAACUGUUGUUAGAUUGCAAUAUAUUUUUUUAUGUUUAUAGUUUAAAAAAUUAUUUAGUAAAAUAGUAGUUUUUAAUAGAAGUCUUAGUGUAUUUAACUCAUACAACAUUUUGAAAAGUUGUUUAAUUUAAUUUUUAUGAAAUUUGUUAAAUGAAUAAGAUUUAUAAUUUUAUUUUUACUUUAAAUAAUGAGUAUUUAUAUUAGCUUUAACUAUUACAACUGUAAUAUAUCAUAAACAUUAAAUAACAAUAAAAAAUUAAUAAACAAAUAUAUAUAAAUAGUAUAUAUAACAAACUGAAAUAUGUAAUCCGCGAGUAGCGCGGACCGAUCCUAGGAUAAAAGAAUAGGUGACAAUUGUAAUGUACAGUGAUGAAGCUACAAGGUAACCAGCAAGUUUUAAGCGGAACGAGAAAUAGGUAGCUCGAGUAGAAAAGGGAGACGAUUGCUCAAGCCAUGCUUAUGUGACUACUUCUAACAAUCAUUCACUGGAUGAAACAAGAGCACAAAGUUGUAGUGAUAGUCUAUCAAUGUCUGCUUUUAGUUACUCAUCCACCAUUUUUCUUAACUUAUGUAAAAACGAGCAAAAGAAAAAAAGUAGAAUAUUUAAUAAAGUAUAAAUCAAUUGUGAAUUUAACAAUUAUUUUCAUCAAAAUUAAAUAAGGAUGAUAAAAACAAUUAGAUCAUAAUUAUUCUCUAUGUCAGAUAAAUGCAUAUUUUGUUUUACAAAAUAUUUACAUAGAUACAUUUCAUUUCAUUUUUAAAACAAAGAUCCACAAGUUGGAUAGAAUUAAUAUAUUUACAUAUCUGUGAUAAAUAUUUUAUUUUCAAAAAUGCUGAGACCGUUAAACAAGAAAAUGCUACUAUAUUUACAUAAAUAUACUUAAUUUUAUUUUUCAAAACAAAGACGCACAAAUUGUAUUUAAUGUGUUCAAAUGAUUCAGUAUAUCUAUGGAUUAUAUCGUACUACUUUAUUUACACAGCAAGUAAAAUAAAUGUAUUUCAAAUGAAUCAACACAACUGGUGCGUGACAUAACUUAUAAAAUAUAAUCCAUAAAACAUUAACUAACCAAACAUACUUAUAAAUGAAAAAAUUAAAAGUAAUGUUAAAAAAAAAAUACAUUGUACAUCCAUAAUAUUGUUAAGUAGAAAUAGUAAUUCAUAUAUUCUGAUGGAAGCAAUAUAUAUAUUGAUAAAAAAAAAUUAAGAAGGUGGUUGUUGUAGUAGUUAACAAUUGAUAUUAAAUAUACAGUGAAGCUAUUAAAUAAAAUUUUGAAUAAUUAUUUAGUUUAAUAUGGUAUAUAUUUAGCUGUAAACUAUUUUCCGUACAUUUUUGUAAUCAUUUGUAUUUUGUUAUAAAUAUCUAAACAUCAUUCACUAAAUUUUAGUGAGAAUUUAACAGCUUAUUAGUUUGUAAUUAUUUUUCAAGUCAAAACAACAUAUACUAAAAAAAACAAGAUAAAAACCCCUAAGAUUUUUCCUACAAUUUAUUCUUACAUCUCAAUCAAAACUUACAAGAUAUUACUAAAUAUUAGAUGCACCACAUAAGUUAUUAUAUGAUAAUAACUUCCCCAACGACGGCAUAAUUACCUACUUAAGAGUAAAAUAUAAGCAAAAAUAUAUAAUAUAUAUAAAUUUUAAGUUUAAACCCGACAAAGCAUUUGACUGUUUGUCACUAUCAGUGCAUCGUUGAUUGGUUUAUUUCAAAUUUAAUCUGCCGAGCAUGUUUGAGAUAUAAUACAUUAUUAUUAUUUCCGGUUUAUCUGACUAACAAUUAACCGAUCUAAUAAUAAAUUUUACUCAUAUAUUUACUUAAUCUAUAAUUGCAAGUUCGUUUCUUUCCUCACGAGAUUCUAUAAAUUCAUCCAACUCCAGAAAAUUACCAAAAAUGAUGUGAUGGUACCAUGAAAAAAUAAAUAAAUAAAAACUACUUAUCAAGACAAUAUGGUAUAUUUAGUUUUCAAAUAUAAUAACAUGUACAAAAUUUAACUAAUAUGUAUAUUUUAAGAUAUAACGAUUUAUAUCAAAUAUUUACUGUAACUAUUUACAUUAUUUUCAAAUUAUCAUCCCGCCCAUAGGGCGGGCCGACCCUAGUCUUUAUAUAUAAAGUACUGUUUUACUCACUCCUGAAGCUGCCACAUCAGAUUCCAGCUCAGAAAGUCGUUGAAUCUGGAGUCGACACGUGUCCAAGAGAAUGAAACUCACCGUAUCAUUUAACUUUGAGUUACGUAGGUUAUUUUUGAUAUGGGCCUUAAAUUUGGUUGAUUCAACCAGCCCAGCAAAUAGUUUCUAUAAUUUAAACGCUGCUGCAAACGUCGUUUUGUGUAUUAGGGUUUCCACUUGAUGUCAUCUCCUCCCUUCGAUAUCACGACAUAACCAGAGGUCUGAGAGAUUGUUUCAGCUUCUUACUAACAAUCUCUAACAGUUACAUAUACCCCAUCUUAAAGUCCUUCUUAAAUUAUCACUCACGAUCUACCUUGAAUGCGAGCAUCUUCAUGCAAGGCGGUGGAACUUCGAUUAUAAAAAGAUCAGACAAGGCUCCUCCACCGUUCUCAAGUCCGGUUGCUCCGUUUCUGGGAAGCUAGGAACGUCCGUCGUCGCGGUGGCGAAGUCAUGGGAGUGGAUAUAGUUCUACAGGAUUCUCAGGCCACCAUGAUGCCGGUCACCGUGAAUGUCAACCGGCUUGCUGCUCACAGGCCUAAUCUGAAGGCGGGUUCAAUUUAUUCCCUAACCGGUUUUGAUCUGACCCGAUGUAAUCAGAAUUACGGUCUGUUGGACACCUCUAUGUUGAUCCGUUUCAGUAACCAAACCUCUUUCGAUGAUGUCCCCGAACCGUCUAUUCUGAUAGGAGUUUAAUCUAAUCACAUCGAGAUGCUUGGCCAUGCCAACACAAACACUCAGAUUCCAGACUUGACGUUGUUUGGGAUCCACUCAACGAAGUAGGACUGGAGAAGCUCUGGCUUGUGGUAGUGACUAUGAGAUCAAUGUUGGAUUCAGUGAAAACGAACAAAGAAAAAGCUAACAAGAAGAAGAAGGACAAGAAAGAAGAGAGUUUGAUGAACUAUAUAGUUAACCUGUUAGAUAGAAGAUGUUUAUACCUCAGCUGUUGGAAUGAUGUUUGAGUCAUGUGUUCUGGGAAGAUGCUUUCUCUUUAAGUCUCUUGCAUUUAUUUUGGUGACAUCGACAAUACUUAUAAUAUCCAGAAACUUCUCAGUAUGUCAUGAGCUAUAUUACAUUUUCAUUCUGUUAUUUUCUUCUUCUUUUUUUCUGUAUGAUUUAGUGAUUAAUGGUGGGAACUAUGUGUUCUAUCAUUGCAGUUUUUUACAUCUGCUAGCCAUAUUUAUCUUAUGAGAGUUGGUAAAUUUAGAUAUUAACAAUUACUGGCAGAUAUACACCGAGUAGUCACAAUUUUAUGCCAUGUGCACUCUCCUUUGUAUGAUUCAUAUAAUUCACCAUUGGUCUAGACAGAAACAUAUUUGUUCUUCUGCUAUGGGAGAAUGAUACUUCAUGUGGCUCUGUAAGCCCUAAGGAAUUGCUUUCUUAUGUUUCACUUUUCUCUAAAGAGUCCCAGUUAAGGCUUCUCUGAUCCAAUUCCAAUACAAACUCUCGGUUGCCACAAUGUGUGCGGUGAUUGUGUUUUUGAGAUUAAGUGAUUUCUAUUAUUUACUUAGCUAUCAGAUUUUCAAAGCUAUUGUUCACAAAAUAGUUUCUUUUUUUGUUAUAUCAAUUUCCAAAAAUAAAGGCUACAGCUAAAUAUGUCUUCUCAAAGUAACACAUAUAGGAAAGAGACUAUCCAAAUACAAUUAUGAAGCUUCUAACUUUUUUUUUUAACACCGAAGGAUUUCAUUGAUUAUAAACUUAGAAAAGAUUUACAAGUUGUGAUCAUAUGCUAGCAAGUUAUAAAAACUUCUAGAAACUAAGCCAACAGGAAUAACAUUCCUUUGGAGUUAUAGGCCGGCAGAUGCGAACUGAAUCUCCGGAGACAAGAGAGAUAUAAACUAAACCAAAAGAUCAAGUACACACAAUACAUGAAUCUAGAUCAAAUGAGCAAAAACACCCAUGCAAGAGGAAGGACCAAAGGAAGACGGAUAAGAUAGAACACAUCCACAGUCGAACUUAAUUUGGGUAGAACCGCACCUCAUUAUAUUGCUUUGAAGAUUACUUCACAAGCCACCGAGGAUGAAGCAGUACAUAACCCAAGAAGAUGAUGAGCACAGCUUUUAACAAUCAACUUCCACGACCGGAUGUAAAGAGCCAAAUCCGUCCAAGAUAAUCACAUUUGAGAUCCCUUGCGUAGAGGCAACAAGAUACAAAGAUUAAACCAUAAUCAUACCGUUUCAAGCGAGAUCGGGGAGAUGCAACCUUCAAUCUAUGGUAGAACCUCUACAAUAAGUGAAACAUGAAAAGCACAGCCAGAUCGGGGAGAAGGGAGAACAACGAGAGGAUCUAACGGAUCCUUGAAACGCAGAAGUCGAAACAAGGCCAAAAGACCAUCUGAAGAAACCCGAAGAGAAGAGGAAACGCCAUAACAGAGGAACAACAUCAUGAUAUAAGCACGCCACCGACUGAUCCAUCACCGACAUGCCUCGAACCUCAAAAGAAUCUGGAAUUCAAGAUCUAGAUCCAACUAUUGGAGACUUAAAACCUUAAGAAAACAUGCAAGCAAAGAGAAUGGAAGACAAGACCGGACCGACGGUGGCUGAGGAAGCACACACCGUCGGCCGGUAACACGCAAACAGAUCGGAAAACGAGAAAGCUUAGAGAGAAGGGAGAGCAAAUGACUUUAGAGAGAGGUUUUUGAUCUGAUUAAUCUCAUGUAUGCAGCUUCUAACUUAAUUUGACACAAAUAAAUCAAUCUCGAUUUGUUUUUGGAAAUAAAAAGAUUAUGAAAAAUGUAAUUGAUCAAAAAUUAUCUAAACAAUUACUCAAAACAGUUAGAAGGUAUAUGCCUUUUUUAAAUAUUUUAGUUUUUAAGAUAAUAAAUUCUAAAAAUAUUAAUAAAAUAUUAAUAAAAUAAGUAAUAAGAGUUUCUGACAGAAAUAACUGAAAUACAGUGAUAUAUUUGGUUUAAAACAAACUAAAAAUUUGUAAGUAAUUUAUUAUAAUUUUAUCAAAAUUUAAGUUAUGUUUAUAUUGUUUUUUAUUCGCUUACCCGCCCUAUCCUUGUCUUAUCUUAUAUAUAUAAAGUAGAGUUAUGCUCUACACACAGCCUUCCACAUCAUCAGGAAGCAUGGGGCUUCUUCUGCCACGUGGCACUCCCAAACACCAAUCGAUCUGCAUUUUAUUUAUGGCUUUUUCUUGGACUGGGCUUUUGUUAUAACUUGUGGAUGGGGUUUUUAAAACAAAAUGGCAAGCCCAGCCAGGAAUCUGAACUGAAUCCACCACUUCAUCUUCAUCGUUUGCAUCGGAGACGUUUCUCAACCUUCUGUUUCUCUAAAGUAACCUCGGGUUACGACCAUUUUUUCUCAUUAAAAUCCGUCUUCACUCCUUCAAUCGAAAGAGCUAUCGUUCUAACUCACUUUUGUUUAUCAAAAUAUAGAAACACAUCCUCUGAUUCUAUUCUCCACGCAUCAUACACGACAAAUACAGCACGGCGAAAGAGGCAUACUUAUUGGGUUAGAACUACUCUCAUGGACAAGAAGCUAAUUCACCAUAGCCAUCACUUAAUUCUUCAGUGAUGUAUCUCCAAGCUUGGUACGGAGCUGUGAACCAGUGAAUCCAUUUCAGUUAAACAACAGUCUCUGAAGUCAAGCAGGUAUGAGUAGAGCUGGGAAUUUUAAUUAAUGCCCGCGGGCCCCGCCCCAUUUGACCCGCUGCGGGGCGGGUGCGGGUCGAAGAAUUUGAAAAUUUGCAAUGGCGGGUGCGGGUGCGGGUCAAGAUUAUUUUAAGCGGGGCGGGUGCGGGUCAGUCGAAUUUGAGUCGCGGGUACUCGUUAACCCGCAAAUUUAAGAAAAAAAGAUUUUUUUUUUAAAAAAAUGUUUUUUUUUAUAAAAAAUAUAUUAAAUCUCGUAAAUAUUUAUAUAAUUUUAAUUAUUAAUAUAUUAUUUUAAUAUAAUUUUUUUAAAAUAAUAUUUUUUAACUAUAUAAUAAUUAUUUUUAAUUAAAAUAAUUAUUUUUAAUAUAAUUAAUAUUACCCGCGGGUUAAGCGGGUUACCCGCGGGUUUUUGCGGGGCGGGUGCGGGUAGAAAUUUUUUUGUUUGUGAGUUAUGCGGGUCAAUUUUUUGAAUCAAAAAAAUGAUUCAACCCGCAGCGGGGCGGGGCGGGUCGGGGCGGGUUGACCCGCAAACCCAGCACUAGGUAUGAGCCUGUCGCUGCUUCUACUCACUAGCGGCUCGAAUCAUGGUAUGUAUAUCCAUUCUGUUACUCCUCCUCUCCUUAUAUCUGAACCGUCUAUUUCUGCAAUCUUUGUUUCUUUCUUAUUUUGCUUUGUGGGUUAUUUUUCCGAUGAUCUGAUAUCUGAAAAGUUCUUUCUGUUUUAUUUGGUCGAACCUGGUAAUAUAACUUCUUUCUGUUUAAUUGUAAUUGAUCAAAAUUGUUUAGUUAAGAACAUAGGAUGCUCAACUUUGUGUUUGAAACUGUAACGUUUCUGAGAAUAUUGUAAUGUAAAAGUUGAAAGAUUGCAUUUUUAGGGUUCCUUGAUAAGAAUAAAAGCCUUAAAAUGGUUAAUGAUCCCAUAAUGUUUAGUUAAGCGUUGUGUUAGAGACUGUAAAGUGGCUAACGUUUGUCACUAGGUGUCUACAAGAUUGCUUGAUCCUUUUCUUGCUCACUUGAAGACAUCACAAGAUUAAGUUGCUAAAGGUGGCUGCGCAAUUGUUCUCAAGCCCGAUAUAAGAUUUUAUAUCAAUAUAAGAUUGUUUUUAAAUGAUACUUUUUUAACACACUGAUUAAAAUUGAGACUCUUUUCUUCUUUGUUAUCUUUAGGUUUCGAUUUGUGAGCAAUCCGGAUGUCCUAGAACGUGUUUACACUUUACAAACUGAGAUAAUGCAUAUCAAGGAAAAAUUGGUAUAUAGAACAAUUGUGUAGCGGCUGUAAAUGUUGUCAGUAAGCUUUUAUUUUUGUAUGUACAUUGUUUAGUGAAUUGACAGUUUAAACGUUCUAUUGUAUCAGUCAGGUGGAUGAUGAUCAACAACCAAAAAGUUCAGAGAGUACAUAAGGUGUUUUCUUGGUGCCAAAACUUUUAGAUGUCAGUCACUAAGAUGUUGUUUGCCUCUUGGCCCUUGAUCAUACAAUUUAACCGGUGCAGUCUGGGCUUUUCCAAAGCCAGAUGUUUGUUUACAAAUCAAGUCUCUUUCUUUCUUUCAUCACCCUCUCUCUCUCUCUCUCUUCAUAGCUUGAUCAAUAAAAAGGAAAAUGAAGUUGCAAGUGUUGUAAAUACAUUUCUGGUGGUAUAUUCAAGGUGGUCUAGAGCUUGUACAAGAGCAUUAGGGUUGGUAAAGGUUUGUCAAGGAUGGAAAGGCACAACAUCUUGCUUUACAACACCCACUUGAGGCAACAUUGGUAUGGACACAACCUGCAUUCUUACUACAAGUUGCUCCACUGUCAGAGUAGAGACCCGUACUUCUACUGGAAAGCUUAAGAGGGUGUUGUGGAAGACGGAAAAUUGUUCUACAAGAACAGUGGAGAAAUGCUUCAAACUUCUACUAUGGACAAUAAUGAUUCCAAAUGGAUCAUGGUGCUCAGAUGUUAUACGUUGGGAAGAAGGGUACUUUCAACAUUCAAGGUUUUUAGCUGGAGAAGCUACUGUUUCUGCAUGGGGAUUUGUUGUUGAGAAUGGUGUUCUUAGGGCUGUUUGGCCAUGGUCCGUGCUUGAUUGCAACUUUUUAAAUUUUAGUAUAGUAGAUUUUAUAAUUAAAAAAAAAACAGUUUUCAGUGUGUUGUGAGUAUUGUUAAGAGCUAAUAAUAAAUUCGUGAAAAGUUUGUCUUAAAAAAGCUUCAGAAAAUAAAUGAGAUAU
Molecule: long non-coding RNA, 9172 nt
Organism: Brassica napus (rape)
Lineage: Eukaryota; Viridiplantae; Streptophyta; Magnoliopsida; Brassicales; Brassicaceae
Exons: 9
Source: RefSeq, a predicted model, not a curated record